RNAcentral lists this ribosomal RNA (497 nucleotides) under uncultured bacterium. RNAcentral describes it as "partial 16S ribosomal RNA". It matches the Rfam family "Bacterial small subunit ribosomal RNA", at positions 28 to 507 of the family's 1533-position model. The record is from RNAcentral.
GAUGAACGCUGGCGGCGUGCCUAAUACAUGCAAGUCGAGCGAACAGACGAGGAGCUUGCUCCUCUGACGUUAGCGGCGAACGGGUGAGUAACACGUGGAUAACCUACCUAUAAUACUGGGAUAACUUCGGGAAACCGGAGCUAAUACCGGAUAAUAUAUUGAACCGCAUGGUUCAAUAGUGAAAGACGGUGUUGCUGUCACUUAUAGAUGGAUCCCCGCCGCAUUAGCUAGUUGGUAAGGUAACGGCUUACCAAGGCGACGAUGCGUAGCCGACCUGAGAGGGUGAUCGGCCACACUGGAACUGAGACACGGUCCAGACUCCUACGGGAGGCAGCAGUAGGGAAUCUUCCGCAAUGGGCGAAAGCCUGACGGAGCAACGCCGCGUGAGUGAUGAAGGUCUUCGGAUCGUAAAACUCUGUUAUUAGAGAAGAACAACUGUGUGAGUAACUAUGCACGUCUUGACGGUACCUAAUCAGAAAGCCACGGCUAACUACGUG